Molecule: non-coding RNA, 63 nt
Organism: Rattus norvegicus (Norway rat)
Lineage: Eukaryota; Metazoa; Chordata; Mammalia; Rodentia; Muridae
Source: Rfam
GGGGAUUUAGCUCAGCGGUAGAGCACUUGCCUAGCAAGUGCAAGGCCCUGGGUUCAGUCCCCA